Molecule: long non-coding RNA, 301 nt
Organism: Juglans regia (Persian walnut)
Lineage: Eukaryota; Viridiplantae; Streptophyta; Magnoliopsida; Fagales; Juglandaceae
Exons: 3
Source: RefSeq, a predicted model, not a curated record
UACAAUUGUAAUCUCUUCGUCUUCGUCCCUGCCGUGUGCCGCAGAGCGUGAGAUUGCAAGAUUGUUGAUUGAAGCUGGGUUGUCCGGUUCAAGGAAUUCGCUCACCCUGCAAUGGAGAUUUUUUCUACAGUGGCUACAGUAGGACCAACCUUCCCUUGCAGCCGCCAUGUUCUUAUUGUUUUUAUAUCAGUUCUUUGAUCACAGAGAAAGGGCUUAAACUUCGGCAGGCAAUGAGUAUGAUGGGUCUUUAUGAUUCUGCUUACUGGCUCUCGUGGCUCACGUGGGAGGGAAUUCUUACGCU